Sorex araneus (European shrew) is the source of this 415-nucleotide long non-coding RNA. RefSeq lists it as uncharacterized. The record is from RefSeq and is a predicted model, not a curated record. The transcript has 3 exons. Lineage: Eukaryota; Metazoa; Chordata; Mammalia; Eulipotyphla; Soricidae.
GAGAGUCCGAGCACGGGGAGAAGGCGCUGGAGUCGGGCGAGGAGCAGGACUUGGGCGAGUUGUUGUCGUUGAGCGGGUAGGGGAAGACCACGGAGGGGUCGAUGCACUCGGAGGCGGCGGCGCUCAUGUCCUGCAGACCCAUAUCUCUCAUCUGAUUAUUCUUUCUAAAAGUCCAAAAUGCCAACUUCUAAAAAAGGAGCAGGCGGGCGAAUGGCAAACGCCUUGGAGAUCCGCGGGCGGUACACGCGCGGCAGCGUCUGUCUGCGGCUGUCAGAAAUUCUCCAUCUCUCGAAUCUCAUCUUGACAAGUCUACCCCGAUCCAGUUCUGGUUGGUCCCCACCCUACCCCGACCCACCACAACUACUCCGAGCAAAGUGUCAGUAGCAAGAAUGAGAGAAAAAGACACCCCGAUUUG